CAAUUAAACACAUAAAUAAAAAGAUAACAAAAUACACAACUAUUUACUCUUAUCUCUUCUCCUAUAUAUUAAAAUUCAAAAUCACUUUUCUGGUUUCUUGAACCCUUAUUGCCAUGAUUCUCUUUCAUCAUCUCCCUCAAGUUGAAGAAGAACGUGAAGAAGAAGAAGGGAAAGCUUUUUAGUCAACCAACUUCACAGAAGCUUGUCAUCGGAGGUUUGUAUUUUGUCUACUUUAUCUUUUUGCUCCUUUCAAUAGUUGUAGAUAUAUAGAUCUAUAAUAGUAGCAUAUAUGCAAAUCUAUUUUCUGGUUUUCAUACAAUACACCUUCGUCAAGAGUUGUAGAUCUAGUCUAUAGAUCUAUAAUAGUAGUGUAUACACGAAAGCUCGCUGUGUCCAAGCCAUCGCAAUCCUCCACCACAAGAUUUAUCGUCAAACCCACUUACCCAGCGUGUCCAUGCUCUGAUUGGUGUCGUGAAUACCAAACUUUGUGAUUAAAAGGAAACAACUUUUAAGCAAAAAAAGAAGAAGGAAACAACUACGGGCAUUGUUUCCAAAGUGGGUCCAUGGAAGAAUCUUGAGCUUCUACUUUCCAGAGUAAUGUAAUUAAGCGACAAAAAUAAGGUGGAGUUGGCUUUCCUUUAUGUCAAACCACAUGAAGGAGAAAAAGAGAGUGGCAAGUGACAACGAGGGUGAAUGAUGUCAAGCUGUUACUAUAUCACGGCUGGUGACAACGAGGGUGAAUGAUGUCAACCUGCAAUAAAAGAGAGAUGUGAAUGGAUCCAGUCACUGUUUUUUUUUCUGAAGAACAAAACUUUCAAGUUAAGGGUGAAAUAUGUUUAGACUUUAGAUGCUGGAACAUCCUUAGGUUCAGCUUGAAUCAGUCGUUAAGUCUUACAAGUUUCUAUCAAUUUGUUAAGGUUUCUUUUAAAGGCGUCGAAUCAGGGACUGUUACUUUGAACCUCUGUAUGAUUUGUCUACAAACUUUGUCCACAAAAAUCUUGUCCACAAAAUUUUGUACAUAAAAUUUGUAAGAUUGAGAUUUUUGUCCAUAAAAUCUUGUCCAUAAAAUUUUUUACACUAAA
Long non-coding RNA from Brassica napus (rape), 1082 nucleotides. RefSeq lists it as uncharacterized. The transcript is spliced from 3 exons. Lineage: Eukaryota; Viridiplantae; Streptophyta; Magnoliopsida; Brassicales; Brassicaceae. The record is from RefSeq and is a predicted model, not a curated record.